Long non-coding RNA from Cygnus olor (mute swan), 1285 nucleotides. RefSeq lists it as uncharacterized. The transcript is spliced from 4 exons. The record is from RefSeq and is a predicted model, not a curated record. Lineage: Eukaryota; Metazoa; Chordata; Aves; Anseriformes; Anatidae.
GAGUCAAGCAGCCCAUGAUGUCAUAAGGAAUUCCUUGUCGUAAGGGACGUCUCCCAAGGAGAGCAUUUGCUCUGCUGGAAAACAGCCAUCCGCCCACAUGUGCCUUCCCCACCCAGCUACUCUGUCCAAAUAACCAAACCGAAGGGAGUGCUUUGAUUAAUCGGAGUGAUCUCAAAGAAAAAUGCUCAAGGGGAAUUCAGGGACCAGAGAUUUAAUGGUUGCAGUUUUAUAGUCUUUAUCAGACCAUCAAGGCUGUAAUAGAAAGAUAGGAGUUAUCAUCUCCAAACGUUUUGUCAUCUCGAUCAACCUUCGAGGGAAAAUCAUCGCAAGAGAGCCUCUGAGGCUCGUUGACAUGACUGAUAACGGGAGGCCAUCAUGGGGCAAAAGCCAUGUUCCUCCAGACACCUUCCAAAUGGACCAAGUCACGCUGAAGGUCGUGUUCAGAAAGCUUCAACCGGUUGUUUUCCAAUCCUCGCUAAUAUUUUGGGUCAACAGUCAUGUCUGUCAAACCCUUCCUAUAGCACUUGCAAGCCUGAAAUACUUUUUACAAUGUUAAUGAGGAUGGGAGAGGACUUUUCCUGUCCUAGGAACAGGCUUUGCAUAAUAGUUUUCUUCUGUCCAUGUAAGAUCUGUUCUGCCGAUGGGGUGGAAAGAAAAAGGCCCCUGCAAAAGCAGUGCUUGGAGUUUGCUGCUUUCUAUACACGCAUCCCAGUGGCGAAUGACUUCCCUCCCAAUGAAAGCUCAUGGUGAAAGAAGACAGCAACAAAAGCACCAAGGUAAUCUAGAGGCCAUGAGGGAAACAUUCCUUCUUCCGGGAGGCCUAUCUAAAUCCCCGCUGAAACACAGCAUAUCAUGUUUUAAUCCCCAAAGGUUUCCUGCACCAUGUUAUUUGCUCAGGCUGUUCAUUUCCCACCCACAAGAAGACAGAACAGCAACACGGGUUGCUGCUCUUGUGUAGCUGUGUGACUUUUCCCAAGAGUUAGGAGAUUUUGCCUGUGACCAACUUCCCACUCGGUUAACACCUCCUUAUCUGAAGGCCAGGCACUUGCAGAGGCGGGGAGCAAGGCUGCGAAGCUCAGCGCUGCCCCGAGUGUGUGCUCCUGCGCUCCGUUGCCUCCGAGGGAUUAUUUAAUGGCUUGUUUCCCAAGGGGAUUAAGCUGAACCUGAUAAAGGCGCUAUCAGCAUCCACCCAUGCAGACAUUGAUAAGUAUAUAUUCCAUCAGAGCUGCCCUUCGUUUCUUUUCCAAGUUAGACAAGCUCCAGAGCAGGGAUUUCUGAAAGCAUC